This 2084-nucleotide ribosomal RNA is filed under the name Oxymonas sp. RoeOxB. RNAcentral describes it as "partial small subunit ribosomal RNA". It matches the Rfam family "Eukaryotic small subunit ribosomal RNA". Lineage: Eukaryota; Preaxostyla; Oxymonadida; Oxymonadidae. The record is from RNAcentral.
UCAAAGAUUAAGCCAUGCAUGUCUCAGUAUAAGCAACUUGUACGUGUGAAACUGCGAAUGGCUCAUUAAACCAGUUAUAAUUUAUUUGAUAGUGAAUUUACUAGAUGGAUAGCCGUAGUAAUUCUAGAGCUAAUACAUGCACAUAAGACCCGACUCGCGAGGGAAGGGUUGUGUUUAUUAGAUUGAAAACCAAUGUGGGUGUAGGGGGGAGAGGAGAAAUCCCCUUCCCCCUACACCACGUUAAAAGGGUGAGUCAUGAUAAAUGUCGAAUCGAAGUUUACCCUUCGAUGUGUCAUUCAAAUUUCUGCCCUAUCAACUUUGUUGGUAGGAUAGAGGCCUACCAUGGUAUUGACGGGUAACGGAGGAUUAGGGUUCGAUUCCGGAGAGGGAGCCUGAGAAAUGGCUACUACUUCUAAGGAAGGCAGCAGGCGCGCAAAUUACCCAAUCCCAACUGUGUUGGGGAGGUAGUGACAAAAAAUACGAAUGCCGGGUCGUUUAACGGCUCGGUAAUUGGAAUGGUAUGGAAGUAAACUGUCCAUAGAGCAGCCAUUAGAGGGCAAGUCUGGUGCCAGCAGCCGCGGUAAUUCCAGCUCUAAUAGUGUAUACUAAAUUUGCUGCAGUUAAAAAGCUCGUAGUUGGAUUUAGGGUGGGGCAGUAUACGUCCGUGCGCUUGCAGUAAUAAGCGACUUGUCUGUUCUCUGUUACUUAAAGGGGGCAGCUUGGUUGACAUGCUGGUUGAGUGUAUGGAGGUUGCUCCGCCCGACGAAAUAAAGACGAGUAACUCUGCAUGGCCCUUAACUGUGGCUUGUGCGGUUGUUCUCGGAGGGUUUACUUUGAAGAAAUUGUAGUGUUCAAAGCAGGCGUUUCGCAGCUGAACACAUUAGCAUGAAUAAUAAAAUAGGACAUCCGAGUCCCUGACCUCUUUUUUUUUGUUUGUGGGUUAGGAAGAGUGUGGGUUGUUGAAGGUUUUAGGAGAAGUCUUUCUCUUAUCCUUCUCAGCCUCCACUCUCUUUCUCUUUCUCACGCAAAAAAAAAAGUUUAUGGGGGAAGGGACUAUUCUUAAGAAUAUCCUUGUUUUGUUGGUUUUUGGAGAGGGUGUAAUGAUUAAUAGGGACGGUUGGGGGCAUCCGUAUUGCAUAGUCAGAGGUGAAAUUCUUGGAUUUAUGCAAGACGAACUAGUGCGAAAGCAUUUGCCAAGGAUGUUUUCAUUAAUCAAGAACGAAAGUUAGGGGAUCGAAGGCGAUCAGAAACCGCCGUAGUCUUAACUAUAAACUAUACCAACUAGGGAUUGGAGAGAGUUUAAAAUACAGCCUCGUCAGCACCUUUAGAGAAAUCACAAGUCUCUGGGUUCUGGGGGGAGUAUGGUCGCAAGGCUGAAACUUAAAGAAAUUGACGGAAGGGCACCACCAGGUGUGGAGCCUGCGGCUUAAUUCGACUCAACACGGGGAAACUCACCAGGUCCAGACACGGGAAGGAUUGACAGAUUGAUAGCUCUUUCUUGAUUCUGUGGGUGGUGGUGCAUGGUCGUUCUUAGUUGGUGGAGUGAUUUGUCUGGUUAAUUCCGAUAACGAACGAGACCUUAACCUGCUAAAUAGCUCAGCGUCACUCCUGAAAAAGAGUGAUGUUUUUUUUUAAAGGGGGGAGGGGGAGGGAGGAAGGGAGGAGGGAGGUCUCUUCUUUCUCUUUUUCCUCUCUCUCUCUCUCUGGAGCUUCUUAGAGGGACUACCAUGGUUGCACAUGGUGGAAGCUUGAGGCAAUGACAGGUCUGUGAUGCCCUUAGAUGUCCUGGGCCGCACGCGCGCUACAAUGAUGCGUUCAGCGAGUGUGUGCUUGUUCGAAAGAACCGGCUAAUCUUGUGAACGCGCAUCGUGCCUGGGGAUUGAUCUUUGUAAUUUUGGAUCAUGAACUAGGAAUACCUAGUAAGCGCAACUCAUCAGGUUGCGCUGAUUACGUCCCUGCCCUUUGUACACACCGCCCGUCGCUCCUACCGAUUGGAUGAUCAGAUGAAAUGCCCAGAUCCGCGGUGCGUUGCUACGUUUGGAGCAGUGCGCCGUGGAGAAGAGUAGUGAAUCUUAUUAUCUAGA